RNAcentral lists this ribosomal RNA (713 nucleotides) under uncultured archaeon. RNAcentral describes it as "bacterial SSU rRNA". It matches the Rfam family "Archaeal small subunit ribosomal RNA", at positions 325 to 1040 of the family's 1478-position model. The record is from RNAcentral.
ACGGGGUGCAGCAGGCGCGAAACUUUCGCAAUGCGCGACAGCGUGACGAAGGUAAUCCGAGUGCUUUCCGAAGGGAAAGCUUUUCACAACUCUGAACCGGUUGUGGAAUAAGUGGUGGGUAAAUCCUGUGCCAGCCGCCGCGGUAACACAGGUAGCACUAGUGGUGUCCGCGAAUACUGAGCUUAAAGCGUGCGUAGCCGGCUAAGCAAGUUUCCUGUCAAAUCUUCUCGCUUAACGAGAAGGCGCGCAGGAAAAACUACUUGGCUUGAGAGUGGGGGAGGCCAAGAGUACGCUAGGGGGAGCGGUAAAAUGCUUUAAUCCUUAGCGGACUACCAGUGGCGAAGGCGCUUGGCUAAAACACGUCUGACGGUGAGGCACGAAGGCCAGGGGAGAGAACCGGAUUAGAUACCCGGGUAUUCCUGGCAGUAAAUGAUGCAGACUUGGCGUUGCAGUUACCUCGAGUGGCUGCAGUGCCGUAGAGAAAUCGUUUAGUCUGCCGCUUGGGGAGUACGGUCGCAAGACUUAAACUUAAAGGAAUUGGCGGGGGAGCACCACAAGGGGUGGAUGCUGCGGUUCAAUUGGAUUCAACGCCGGGAAACUCACCAGCAGAGACGGCAGGAUGAAGCUCAGACUAAAGAUCUUAGCCAACAAGCCGAGAAGUGUUGCAUGGCCAGCGUCAGUUCGUGCCGUGAGGUGUCACGUUAAGUCGUGCA